Molecule: ribosomal RNA, 1122 nt
Filed under: Triticum aestivum (bread wheat)
Lineage: Eukaryota; Viridiplantae; Streptophyta; Magnoliopsida; Poales; Poaceae
Description: partial small subunit ribosomal RNA
Source: RNAcentral
AUGAUGGCGCCACUAGUUCGACGUCUCUUCCUCGUGGCGCUGGCGCUUCUCCCCGCCUUCUCCGCCGCCGCCGAGCCGCGUUACACCGCCGUGUUCAGCUUUGGCGACUCGCUUGCCGACACCGGGAACGAGUUUGCGCUUACAGGCGGGGCCACCGGCAACACUCCCCCGUACGGCGACACCUUCUUCGGCGUCCCAACCGGCCGUGCGUCCGACGGCCGGCUCGUCCUCGACUUCGUAGUUGAGGCGCUGGGGUUGCCGCACCCGCGGCCGUAUUUCGCCGGCGAGACCAUGGCGGACUUCCAGCAGGGCGUGAACUUUGCGUACGGCAGGUCGACGGCUCUUGGCCCGGAGUUCUUCGAGAGCAAAGGGUUCACGCUGUUCAUGCCCGUCUCGCUCGAAAACCAGACCGAGUGGUUCAGGAAUGUUCUACAGCUAGCCGGCUCAGUAGAAGAGCAGAGGAAGCUGAUGGCCACGUCGCUGGUGAUGAUGGGAGAGAUGGGAAUCCACGACUAUCUCAUCUUCAUCACCGGAAAGCUCACCGAGGCCGAGAUCCGGACCUUCGUGCCCCACAUCGUCGGCGCCAUCCGUUCAGUCAUCACCGAGGUGAUCGAUGCGGGAGCGAAAACGGUGGUGGUCCGGGGGAUGAUACCGCUGGGCUGCCAGCCGCUCAUGCUCGCCCUCUUCGAGGGCACCGGCGCUGACUACAACCGGGCGACCGGCUGCCUGACGCGGCUCAACGACCUCGCCAGGAAGCACAACCACGCGCUCAUGGGCAUGAUCCUCGAACUCCGGCGCGCCUACCGCGGCACCGGCGUAUCCAUCCUCUACGCGGACCAGAUGGACCCCGUCAUCAAACUCGUCUUCGAGCCCAGCAAGUACGGGUUCGGGGACAAGCCCCUGGCGGCGUGCUGCGGAGGGAGCGGCACCUACAACUUCGACCCCACCUUCGCCACCCUCUGCGGCAUGCCCGGGGCGAACAAGUGCGCUGACCCGUCCAAGUACGUCUCGUGGGACGGGAUACACUUGACCGACGCCGCCAACCGGCAUGUCGCCGGAAAUGUGCUCAGGUCCAUCGUAUUGCGGCAAACGCCAUAUAUGGCACACCUCUCCUCCAGCUAG